Molecule: ribosomal RNA, 855 nt
Filed under: uncultured archaeon
Lineage: Archaea
Description: bacterial SSU rRNA
Rfam family: Archaeal small subunit ribosomal RNA
Source: RNAcentral
GCGGUAACACCGGCAGCCCGAGUGGUGAUCACUAUUAUUGGGUCUAAAGGGUCCGUAGCCGGUUUAAUCAGUCUUCUGGGAAAUCUAAUCGCUUAACUAUUAGGCUUCCAGGGGAUACUGUUAGACUUGGGACCGGGAGAGGUAAGAGGUACUGCAGGGGUAGGAGUGAAAUCUUGUAAUCCCUGUGAGACCACCAGUGGCGAAGGCGUCUUACCAGAACGGGUCCGACGGUGAGGGACGAAAGCUGGGGGCACGAACCGGAUUAGAUACCCGGGUAGUCCCAGCUGUAAACGAUGCUCGUUAGGUGUCAGGAACGGUGCGACUGUUUCUGGUGCCGAAGGGAAGCCGUGAAACGAGCCACCUGGGAAGUACGGCCGCAAGGCUGAAACUUAAAGGAAUUGGCGGGGGAGCACUACAACGGGUGGAGCCUGCGGUUUAAUUGGACUCAACGCCGGAAAACUCACCGGGGGCGACAGCAAUAUGUAGGUCAGGUUAAAGGUCUUACCUGAAUCGCUGAGAGGAGGUGCAUGGCCGUCGUCAGUUCGUACUGUGAAGCAUCCUGUUAAGUCAGGCAACGAGCAAGACCCGUGCCCACUGUUACCAGCAUAUCCUUUAUGGAUGAUGGGGACUCUGUGGGGACCGCUGCUGCUAAAGCAGAGGAAGGUGCGGGCUACGGUAGGUCAGUAUGCCCCGAAUCUCCCGGGCUACACGCGGGCUACAAUGGUUGGGACAAUGGGUAUCUACUCCGAAAGGAGUUGGCAAUCUCUUAAACCCAAUCGUAGUUCGAAUUGAGGGCUGUAACUCGCCCUCAUGAAGCUGGAAUCCGUAGUAAUCGCGUUUCAACAUAGCGCGGUG